UACGAAGGGGGCUAGCGUUGUUCGGAAUCACUGGGCGUAAAGGGCGCGUAGGCGGCUGUUCAAGUCGGGGGUGAAAUCCCGUGGCUCAACCACGGAAUGGCCUUCGAUACUGGACGGCUGGAGACCGGAAGAGGUGAGUGGAACUGCGAGUGUAGAGGUGAAAUUCGUAGAUAUCGUAAGGAAGACCAGUGGCGAAGGCGGGUCUCUGGACAGUUCCUGACGCUGAGGCACGAAGGCCAGGGGAGCAAACGGG
Molecule: ribosomal RNA, 253 nt
Filed under: uncultured bacterium
Lineage: Bacteria
Description: partial 16S ribosomal RNA
Rfam family: Bacterial small subunit ribosomal RNA
Source: RNAcentral